UUAAAAAUGUUUAUAAAAAUCAUUUCACUCAAACUAAUUAGCAUUUAUAUAAUAUAAUGGGAUUCAAAUGAUAACAUUUCUUUCAAUUAGUUUUUAUCUGCCUGUCUAAUACAUUCUAUGUUUUUAAGAUUCAUAUAACUUUAUCAAAUUUUUUAAUUACUGUUAUUAAAAUCUUGUUACUUUCUCAAAAUUAUUAAUUGAUGCCAUGUCAAAAAUUAGAUAACACCACAAUGUGGCAUCUGCAUGAUGUGACAGUAAAAAAAAGAAAAUCACCCAAAAUCAAAAUGAAAGAGAAAAUCAUACAAAUUUUUAAUAAAAGUUUUCAACACAAUUAAACUAAGAUAAAGUCAGUAUUUUAAAUUAAUUAUUAUGAAAGUUAACAAAAUUCACAUUUCUUAACAACUGUGAACAAUUACAAUCAAAUAUAAUGUCAACAUUAUAUAUUGUCUAAUGACUAAUUUUUUUUUUCUUUCAAUCACUUGUUAAUUUGUUUUAUUUAUGUCUAAUUUUUAAUUCAUUUGCACAUUCAGUAUAUCCCUUCUUUUAAUUAAAUAUUAACUAUCUUGUGCAGAAGUUAUUGAUAGCAUAAGAUGGUCUCCCAUGAGUAUUAAUUGUAGACUGUUGGUAACAUACUGUACAUGCCAUAAACAUUUGUAACUGGUCAGAGUGAGUGGUUGGUCAAGUGCAACUAAUUACUUUCUCCCUGCUGUUUACAUAAUGACCAGUGUCAAACUCACCUAUCUAAUAUAAAGGAAAGUGUGAGAUAAGUGGGGUUUACAACAUGUACUCUAAUAUCCUGAACAAGUCUGGUAUCAGGAUCUGAUCUCAGAAAAUUCAAAUAUUACUCAGGAAGUUCAUUUGGACCUCAGUGCUUAUAACAUUAGGAGUAGAGUUAAACAUGUGACUUAAGUGCCAUUUAGAUAAAACAACUAAUAAUAAAUGUGAACUUUAAUAAAAUUAUAAUGGGACAUUAAAUGAGUUCUUCAUUCAGAUGGAAAUGGAAAUUUACUAAUGUUCAAUGGAAUAAUGGAAAACUUACAUUGCCCACAGGUACCAUAGAAAGUUUCAAAUUAUAAUGAUGACGAAGAAGAAGAAAAUUGAGUUGAUAACAGAAAUAAUUGAUGUGUGUACAACAGGCUUUAAAUGAUAUGGAUAGUUGUGUGCCACAGUGAAGCCAUUCUGAAAGACUGCAUCUGUAAAGGACAUGAUUUAUCAUAUUACAACAUGGAUACUUAUUUGGAAAAAAUCAAAAACAGUUAUCUUAAAUAAAUAUUUUGUUUUAUAUUUUCUCAGCUUGGUAGACAUUUAUUAUUUUUUGUAUUUGUGCAAUAGAAUAAUGUUUGUUAAGAUCUCUAAUGUAAAUCUAGAAAUAUUAGUUGAAAUGAAUAAAUUAAUUCUAUUAAAUAUUAGUUUAUUAAAAUAUUAUACCUUAUUACAUGACAAUUAAAAUUUUUUAUUUGUUACAAGGCGGGAAUUUUUCCGCCUAGGAUUUUUCCUGCGGAAUCCGCUUAAGGUAGGCGGAAUCCGCCUAAGGUAGGCGGAAUCCGCCUAAGGUAGGCGGAAUCCGCCUAAGGUAGGCGGAAUUUGCCUAAGGUAGGCGGAAUCCGCUGACAUAGCCAGACUUUAAGCGGAAUAUUUAAAUGAGCUAAGGCGGAUUCCGUCUAGAUAGGCGGAUUCCACCUUAGCUCAUUUAAAUAUUUCGCACCAUAUUCCGCUUAAGGUCCGCCUAAGAAGCAAUAUUCAACUCUGUUCAGUUUAAGGCGGAAUCCGCUUUACUACAUAGGCGGAUUCCACCUACAGUCAGGGCGGAAGUUUUCGUACGGG
Long non-coding RNA from Ruditapes philippinarum (Manila clam), 1824 nucleotides. RefSeq lists it as uncharacterized. The transcript has 3 exons. NCBI's taxonomy places the organism in Eukaryota, Metazoa, Mollusca, Bivalvia, Venerida, Veneridae. The record is from RefSeq and is a predicted model, not a curated record.